CACCGUUUCAGUGGCAUUUAAAUCCCCGGCGCUCCUCAGUCUAGGUGACGCGCGGUCGCCCCCCCAGGCUGCCCGGGCCGCGGCGGCUGCUCCGGCCGCUGCCAGAGCUGACUUGGAGCACUGGG
Molecule: long non-coding RNA, 125 nt
Filed under: Cricetulus griseus (Chinese hamster)
Lineage: Eukaryota; Metazoa; Chordata; Mammalia; Rodentia; Cricetidae
Description: HOX antisense intergenic RNA myeloid 1 conserved region 1 (ENSCGRG00000021974.1, ENSCGRG00001008223.1)
Rfam family: HOX antisense intergenic RNA myeloid 1 conserved region 1
Source: RNAcentral